RNAcentral lists this non-coding RNA (23 nucleotides) under Cricetulus griseus (Chinese hamster). The record is from RNAcentral. Lineage: Eukaryota; Metazoa; Chordata; Mammalia; Rodentia; Cricetidae.
GAGACUGGAGAAGAAAACAAAAU